UAACCUUGCGGCCGUACUCCCCAGGCGGUCUACUUAAUGCGUUAGCUUGAGAGCCCAGUGUUCAAGACACCAAACUCCGAGUAGACAUCGUUUACGGCGUGGACUACCAGGGUAUCUAAUCCUGUUUGCUCCCCACGCUUUCGUGCCUGAGCGUCAGUCUUUGUCCAGGGGGCCGCCUUCGCCACCGGUAUUCCUCCAGGUCUCUACGCAUUUCACCGCUACACCUGGAAUUCUACCCCCCUCUACAAGACUCUAGUUCGCCAGUUCGAAAUGCAAUUCCCAGGUUGAGCCCGGGGCUUUCACAUCUCGCUUAACAAACCGCCUGCGCACGCUUUACGCCCAGUAAUUCCGAUUAACGCUCGGACCCUCCGUAUUACCGCGGCUGCUGGCACGGAGUUAGCCGGUCCUUCUUCUGUAGGUAACGUCACAGCAAUAACGUAUUAAGUUAUUACCUUUCCUCCCUACUGAAAGUGCUUUACAACCCGAAGGCCUUCUUCACACACGCGGCAUGGCUGCAUCAGGGUUUCCCCCAUUGUGCAAUAUUCCCCA
Molecule: ribosomal RNA, 549 nt
Filed under: uncultured bacterium
Lineage: Bacteria
Description: partial 16S ribosomal RNA
Source: RNAcentral